This 492-nucleotide ribosomal RNA is filed under the name uncultured bacterium. Its description in RNAcentral is "partial 16S ribosomal RNA". It matches the Rfam family "Bacterial small subunit ribosomal RNA", at positions 29 to 507 of the family's 1533-position model. The record is from RNAcentral.
AGUGAACGUUGGCGGUAGGCCUAACACAUGCAAGUCGAACGGCAGCACAGUAAGAGCUUGCUCUUACGGGUGGCGAGUGGCGGACGGGUGAGGAAUACAUCGGAAUCUACUUUUUCGUGGGGGAUAACGUAGGGAAACUUACGCUAAUACCGCAUACGACCUACGGGUGAAAGCAGGGGAUCUUCGGACCUUGCGCGAUUGAAUGAGCCGAUGUCGGAUUAGCUAGUUGGCGGGGUAAAGGCCCACCAAGGCGACGAUCCGUAGCUGGUCUGAGAGGAUGAUCAGCCACACUGGAACUGAGACACGGUCCAGACUCCUACGGGAGGCAGCAGUGGGGAAUAUUGGACAAUGGGCGCAAGCCUGAUCCAGCCAUACCGCGCGGGUGAAGAAGGCCUUCGGGUUGUAAAGCCCUUUUGUUGGGAAAGAAAAGCAGCAGGUUAAUACCCCGCUGUUCUGACGGUACCCAAAGAAUAAGCACCGGCUAACUUCGUG